This 73-nucleotide transfer RNA is filed under the name Camelus bactrianus (Bactrian camel). It matches the Rfam family "tRNA". Rfam says of the family: Transfer RNA (tRNA) molecules are approximately 80 nucleotides in length. The record is from Rfam by way of RNAcentral. RNAcentral also lists the same sequence under 2 other names. Lineage: Eukaryota; Metazoa; Chordata; Mammalia; Artiodactyla; Camelidae.
GAGGGUAUAGCUCAAGUGGUAGAGCUGUUGCUUAGCAUGCAUGAGGUCCAGGGUUCAAUCCCCAGUACCUCCA